AGGACUAACGCUGGCGGCGUGCCUAACACAUGCAAGUCGAACGAAGUAGCAAUACUUAGUGGCAGACGGGUGAGUAACACGUAGUCAACCUGCCCUUCAAUGGGGGAUAACUAGCCGAAAGGUUAGCUAAUACCGCAUACGAUCUCUGAGUGGCAUCACUCGGCGAUGAAAGGAGUAAUCCGUUGAAGGAGGGGACUGCGUCCCAUUAGUUAGUUGGUGGGGUAAUGGCCUACCAAGACUCCGAUGGGUAGCUGGCUUGAGAGAGCGACCAGCCACACUGGAACUGAGACACGGUCCAGACUCCUACGGGAGGCAGCAGUGAGGAAUUUUCCGCAAUGGGGGAAACCCUGACGGAGCGACGCCGCGUGUGGGAAGAAGGCCUUGGGUCGUAAACCACUGUCGAGGGGGACGAUAUUGACGGUACCCCUGGAGGAAGCCCCGGCUAACUACGUGCCAGCAGCCGC
This 464-nucleotide ribosomal RNA is filed under the name uncultured bacterium. Its description in RNAcentral is "SSU rRNA". It matches the Rfam family "Bacterial small subunit ribosomal RNA", at positions 26 to 518 of the family's 1533-position model. The record is from RNAcentral.